AGUGAACGCUGGCGGUAGGCCUAACACAUGCAAGUCGAACGGCAGCACAGUAAGAGCUUGCUCUUACGGGUGGCGAGUGGCGGACGGGUGAGGAAUACAUCGGAAUCUACUUUUUCGUGGGGGAUAACGUAGGGAAACUUACGCUAAUACCGCAUACGACCUACGGGUGAAAGCAGGGGAUCUUCGGACCUUGCGCGAUUGAAUGAGCCGAUGUCGGAUUAGCUAGUUGGCGGGGUAAAGGCCCACCAAGGCGACGAUCCGUAGCUGGUCUGAGAGGAUGAUCAGCCACACUGGAACUGAGACACGGUCCAGACUCCUACGGGAGGCAGCAGUGGGGAAUAUUGGACAAUGGGCGCAAGCCUGAUCCAGCCAUACCGCGUGGGUGAAGAAGGCCUUCGGGUUGUAAAGCCCUUUUGUUGGGAAAGAAAAGCAGCAAGUUAAUACCCCGCUGUUCUGACGGUACCCAAAGAAUAAGCACCGGCCAACUUCGUG
Molecule: ribosomal RNA, 492 nt
Filed under: uncultured bacterium
Lineage: Bacteria
Description: partial 16S ribosomal RNA
Rfam family: Bacterial small subunit ribosomal RNA
Source: RNAcentral